UCGCGGCUUAUCACCGGCAGUCUCCUUAGAGUGCUCAACUAAAUGGUAGCAACUAAGGACGGGGGUUGCGCUCGUUGCGGGACUUAACCCAACAUCUCACGACACGAGCUGACGACAGCCAUGCAGCACCUGUCUCCGGUCCAGCCGAACUGAAGAGCUCCAUCUCUGGAGCCCGCGACCGGCAGUUCAAACCCCGGUAAGGUUCUUCGCGUUGCGUCGAAUUAAACCACAUCAUCCACCGCUUGUGCGGGCCCCCGCCAAUUCCUUUGAGUUUUAAUCUUGCGACCGUACUCCCCAGGCGGAUGACUUCUCGCGUUAGCUGCGUUACUAAAGGAUUUAACUCCUCCAACAACUAGUCAUCAUCGUUUAGGGCGUGGACUAC
Molecule: unclassified non-coding RNA, 382 nt
Filed under: uncultured Pseudomonadota bacterium
Lineage: Bacteria; Pseudomonadati; Pseudomonadota
Description: uncultured proteobacterium contains 16S-23S intergenic spacer region
Source: RNAcentral